GGCAUACUGACAUACACACACACACUGACACACAGAGACAAACCUACUGACACACAUGCUACAUUUAGCCACCCUGCAGGUUCUUACCUUUUUCUGGAGGUUGGUUUCCUUGGGGUCCAGUGGCAGGCUGAGGUAGUUAGGAGUUAUCUUCUGGAACUCUGCUCCUCCUUGCCUUCCUCCUCCUGCGCAUCUCCGUUGGGAGGAAGUGACGCGCGGCACUCACUACCUCCCAGUCAUCUGCCGAACAGGAAGGGGCCUGGUCGCGCUGUUUAAGCGCCACAGCGCCUGACCGGGCCACUGCUGAC
Non-coding RNA from Pelobates cultripes (western spadefoot toad), 305 nucleotides. Lineage: Eukaryota; Metazoa; Chordata; Amphibia; Anura; Pelobatidae. The record is from the annotation of a GenBank genome assembly.